GGGGACGAAAGGAUUUCGACGGGGAUUCUGAAGUACGAUAAGCGGGUAGUGAUGCAGACUCACUUUAAACACUGCAACCUAAAAAUAAACGACAACAAAACUGUCUUAAAGGCUGCUUAAAUGCGGCCCGUCUGAGCGGAGAGUACUGCGGCUUCGCAUCAGGCGUCGAUUAGCAGUGAACGUGAACAGCCGAACAUUCUCAUAGGCUGUCAUGAGCAAGAGGAUACCGAGCUUUAAAGCCUGUCGUCCGGCGUUUUAGCAAGGGAAUUUUAAACGAACGACUCCACCCGAAGAAAGUUGUAUGGAUGGGCUUUCGGACGCGGCUUCGAUUGCCGCCGUCUCCACCA
RNAcentral lists this transfer-messenger RNA (347 nucleotides) under pig gut metagenome. It matches the Rfam family "transfer-messenger RNA". From Rfam's summary of the family: Bacterial tmRNA, also known as 10Sa RNA or SsrA, is named for its dual tRNA and mRNA-like properties. Its role is to liberate the mRNA from a stalled ribosome. The record is from RNAcentral.